UACGAAGGGGGCUAGCGUUGCUCGGAAUUACUGGGCGUAAAGCGCUCGUAGGCGGAUCUUUAAGUCAGGGGUGAAAUCCUGGAGCUCAACUCCAGAACUGCCUUUGAUACUGAGGACCUUGAGUUCGGGAGAGGUGAGUGGAACUGCGAGUGUAGAGGUGAAAUUCGUAGAUAUUCGCAAGAACACCAGUGGCGAAGGCGGCUCACUGGCCCGAUACUGACGCUGAGGUGCGAAAGCGUGGGGAGCAAACAGG
Molecule: ribosomal RNA, 253 nt
Filed under: uncultured bacterium
Lineage: Bacteria
Description: partial 16S ribosomal RNA
Rfam family: Bacterial small subunit ribosomal RNA
Source: RNAcentral